CAGCGCCUGGCAGCCCUGUGCCUUGGGCAGGGGUGCCACCCACUAGGCCAGGCUGCUCAAAGCCACAUCCGGCCUGCCUUUGAACUCAUGCCGGGAUGGGGCAUCCACAGCUUCUGUGGGCAGCCCGGUGCAGCGCCUCGCCACAUGACCCAUUUUACCUACACCUAAUUCACACCAAAAUCUAGCGGGAGAGAAGAACAGACAAGAGCCUAACAAAAGCCGCAGCCAGGAAGGAAAGCAGUGUAGCUCGUAGCUUUAGCGAGCUGCGGGGAGGAGAGCACCCCGAGCUUCUCUUUGUCCACUCCUGCUCCUGGCAUUGCCCCAGCGCUGUCCCUGGCAGGGCCCUGCCCCAGCGGGCCGGGAGCGUCUGCCCCGGCUUCCUGCAGCACACACCGCUCCUGGGAGCGAGAACUACGUGUCUGCAAUGUCUUGGGACUCAGAAGUUUAAUUAAACACCCUUCAAUUUCAUACUAUGGGGAGGAACCCAAACCAAAGGCAGGGUGGGUUGCUGACCGUGGUGAAAGGGAAGAAAGAUGGCUGUGGGAGACGUGCACACAGUACGGUGCUGCCCACCCUGCCCUGCUACGUGUGGCGGGGAGGCAUUCACUCCUGGCACCUUUCCUUCCCCCUCCCUGGCCCAGCAAGUGCCGCAGGGCUCGGGGAGGGCUGUGGUUGCAGCACAAAAAAAGCCCAGCCUAGGAGAAGCUGGUUUUUGGGUGAUUUCUGCCUCCUGCAGGAGAGGGGGCCCGCGGCCUGCUGCCAGGCUGGGCGGCAGCACGCAGCAGCAAGAAACACGGAAAUCCAAGCAGUUGUCAGUAUUGGGAUUCCUGUUUCAUCUUGGAUGAUUGUUCACCUCAGGAAUGUACUGUGGAUCCUCUUCCUUCCCAGACUGAACUACAUGUUUGGAGAAACCAUUGUGAUUUUAAAAUCUCUCAGAAAGAAUGCAAAAUGGAAAUCAGAAUGGUAAAAAAUGGUGCUAUAAACAGUGAAAUCAGCUGAGGAAGUGGCAGAUGCACCUCAGUAAUGGCAUUACAGAAGCUGUGGAAGGAGUCCAGCCAUUCCUUGAAGCAUUAGAGAGCAUCAGAUUCCUGCAG
This 1094-nucleotide long non-coding RNA is filed under the name Cyanistes caeruleus (blue tit). RNAcentral's name for it is "lncRNA (ENSCCEG00000018560.1)". Lineage: Eukaryota; Metazoa; Chordata; Aves; Passeriformes; Paridae. The record is from RNAcentral.